RNAcentral lists this ribosomal RNA (500 nucleotides) under uncultured Glomeromycotina. RNAcentral's name for it is "partial small subunit ribosomal RNA". It matches the Rfam family "Eukaryotic small subunit ribosomal RNA", at positions 591 to 1092 of the family's 1831-position model. The record is from RNAcentral. Lineage: Eukaryota; Fungi; Glomeromycota.
CCAAUAGCGUAUAUUAAAGUUGUUGCAGUUAAAAAGCUCGUAGUUGAAUUUCGGGAUCAAUACGUCGGUCAUGCCUCUGGUAUGUACUGGUGUUAUUGGUUUCUCCUUUCUGAGGGGCCAUGAUGUCAUUAAUUUGGUGUCGUGGGGAAUCAGGACUGUUACUUUGAAAAAAUUAGAGUGUUUAAAGCAGGCACGCGCUUGAAUACAUUAGCAUGGAAUAAUGAAAUAGGACGUUCGAUUCUAUUUUGUUGGUUUCUAGGAUCAACGUAAUGAUUAAUAGGGAUAGUUGGGGGCAUUAGUAUUCAAUUGUCAGAGGUGAAAUUCUUGGAUUUAUUGAAGACUAACUACUGCGAAAGCAUUUGCCAAGGAUGUUUUCAUUAAUCAAGAACGAAAGUUAGGGGAUCGAAGACGAUCAGAUACCGUCGUAGUCUUAACCAUAAACUAUGCCGACUAGGGAUCGGAUGAUGUUAAUUUUUUAAUGACUCAUUCGGCGCCUUACG